Molecule: ribosomal RNA, 161 nt
Filed under: uncultured bacterium
Lineage: Bacteria
Description: partial 16S rRNA
Rfam family: Bacterial small subunit ribosomal RNA
Source: RNAcentral
GGAAUCUUCCACAAUGGACGCAAGUCUGAUGGAGCAACGCCGCGUGAGUGAAGAAGGUCUUCGGAUCGUAAAACUCUGUUGUUAGAGAAGAAUACGAGUGAGAGUAACUGUUCAUUCGAUGACGGUAUCUAACCAGCAAGUCACGGCUAACUACGUGCCAG